This 66-nucleotide transfer RNA is filed under the name Dipodomys ordii (Ord's kangaroo rat). It matches the Rfam family "tRNA". From Rfam's summary of the family: Transfer RNA (tRNA) molecules are approximately 80 nucleotides in length. Their secondary structure includes four short double-helical elements and three loops (D, anti-codon, and T loops). Further hydrogen bonds mediate the characteristic L-shaped molecular structure. tRNAs have two regions of fundamental functional importance: the anti-codon, which is responsible for specific mRNA codon recognition, and the 3' end, to which the tRNAs corresponding amino acid is attached (by aminoacyl-tRNA synthetases). tRNAs cope with the degeneracy of the genetic code in two manners: having more than one tRNA (with a specific anti-codon) for a particular amino acid; and 'wobble' base-pairing, i.e. permitting non-standard base-pairing at the 3rd anti-codon position. Lineage: Eukaryota; Metazoa; Chordata; Mammalia; Rodentia; Heteromyidae. The record is from Rfam by way of RNAcentral.
GGUUGGCUCAGUGGUAGAGUGCUUGCCUUGCAUGCAUGAGGCCUUGGGUUUGAUUCCUCAGCACCA